Molecule: small nuclear RNA, 271 nt
Filed under: Erinaceus europaeus (western European hedgehog)
Lineage: Eukaryota; Metazoa; Chordata; Mammalia; Eulipotyphla; Erinaceidae
Description: 7SK RNA
Rfam family: 7SK RNA
About the family: 7SK was discovered as an abundant small nuclear RNA in the mid-70s but a possible function has only recently been suggested.
Source: Rfam by way of RNAcentral
GGGUAUGAGGGUGAUCUGGUCAACUGGACAGAUGUCUCCUUAUUCCCUCACUACUUCAUGUGAGUUCCUUCCAUAAGUUUUCGGCUACUAAAAGAAGAAAGCUUCUUCAAUGUGUGUGGGAGAGGUAGUCUUUAGUUAGUAUACUAGAGUAAAUGUGCCACCCUGCUAGAAACUCCAAAACAACUCUGAAAAUACAUUUACAGAAUAUUCAAGUUUCUAAGACUCAAUACACAAGAAAAUGAGGAAUGCAUGUAACAUUUUGCCGUUUUUU